AAGGGAGCUUGUUAAUCGCUGUAAGCCAUUUUGCCGUUCAGAGGAGAGUUGGAGAGUGUGGUGAGCAGAUGAGAGCUAGUUUCUGAAUUUAAAAUGCCACCACGGAUCAGUCCCCUUAGGGAUGCCAUAGAACAUGUGGUUUCAAAAACAGACAAAACAAGCAAGUUGGAGGUGAAGUACAUUAAUGCAGUAAAAGGACGUGGAGUAUUUGCAAAGAGUUCUAUUUGCAAAGGAGAUUUUCUUGUUGAAUAUCGAGGAGAUAUGAUAAAUGAAGCAGAAUCCCAGAGAAGAAGAAACAUUUACCACCCAUCAUGUACUGUAUUUAUGUUUGACUUCAAGUGGAAAGGGAAACUAUGGUGUAUUGAUGCCUCAAGAGAAGAUGGAUCAUUUGGGCGGCUCGUUAACGAUGACCACAGACACCCAAACUGUAAAAUGAAAAAAAUUGAUGUGGAUGGAAAACCACACCUUUGUUUGUUUGCCCUGAAUGACAUUAAAGAAGGAGAAGAAAUUGUCUAUGACUAUGGGGGUGAUGACUACCCAUGGAGAACACAAGUAUGUUGCAAAGUAUGCAGUAUACGUAAUGCU
Astyanax mexicanus (Mexican tetra) is the source of this 585-nucleotide long non-coding RNA. RefSeq lists it as uncharacterized. Lineage: Eukaryota; Metazoa; Chordata; Actinopteri; Characiformes; Acestrorhamphidae. The record is from RefSeq and is a predicted model, not a curated record. The transcript is spliced from 4 exons.